This 254-nucleotide ribosomal RNA is filed under the name uncultured bacterium. RNAcentral describes it as "partial 16S ribosomal RNA". It matches the Rfam family "Bacterial small subunit ribosomal RNA", at positions 524 to 776 of the family's 1533-position model. The record is from RNAcentral.
UACGGGGGGAGCAAGCGUUGUUCGGAUUUACUGGGCGUAAAGGGCGCGUAGGCGGUCGUGACAAGUCACUUGUGAAAUCUCCGGGCUUAACUCGGAACGGUCAAGUGAUACUGUCGGACUAGAGUACAGAAGGGGCAACUGGAAUUCUCGGUGUAGCGGUGAAAUGCGUAGAUAUCGAGAGGUACACCUGCGGCGAAGGCGGGUUGCUGGGCUGAUACUGACGCUGAGGCGCGAAAGCCAGGGGAGCGAACGGG